Molecule: ribosomal RNA, 420 nt
Filed under: uncultured bacterium
Lineage: Bacteria
Description: partial 16S ribosomal RNA
Rfam family: Bacterial small subunit ribosomal RNA
Source: RNAcentral
UGGGGAAUAUUGGACAAUGGGCGAAAGCCUGAUCCAGCCAUGCCGCGUGUGUGAAGAAGGUCUUCGGAUUGUAAAGCACUUUAAGUUGGGAGGAAGGGCAGUAAAUUAAUACUUUGCUGUUUUGACGUUACCGACAGAAUAAGCACCGGCUAACUCUGUGCCAGCAGCCGCGGUAAUACAGAGGGUGCAAGCGUUAAUCGGAAUUACUGGGCGUAAAGCGCGCGUAGGUGGUUCGUUAAGUUGGAUGUGAAAUCCCCGGGCUCAACCUGGGAACUGCAUUCAAAACUGACGAGCUAGAGUAUGGUAGAGGGUGGUGGAAUUUCCUGUGUAGCGGUGAAAUGCGUAGAUAUAGGAAGGAACACCAGUGGCGAAGGCGACCACCUGGACUGAUACUGACACUGAGGUGCGAAAGCGUGGGGG